GAUCAUGGCUCAGGACGAACGCUAGCUACAGGCUUAACACAUGCAAGUCGAGGGGCAGCAUGGUCUUAGCUUGCUAAGGCCGAUGGCGACCGGCGCACGGGUGAGUAACGCGUAUCCAACCUGCCUUACACUCUUGGACAGCCUUCUGAAAGGGAGAUUAAUACAAGAUGUUAUCAUGAGUAAGCAUUUUCACAUGAUUAAAGGUUUACCGGUGUAAGAUGGGGAUGCGUUCCA
Molecule: ribosomal RNA, 234 nt
Filed under: uncultured bacterium
Lineage: Bacteria
Description: partial 16S ribosomal RNA
Rfam family: Bacterial small subunit ribosomal RNA
Source: RNAcentral